Molecule: unclassified non-coding RNA, 498 nt
Filed under: uncultured Glomus
Lineage: Eukaryota; Fungi; Glomeromycota; Glomeromycetes; Glomerales; Glomeraceae
Description: SSU rRNA
Rfam family: Eukaryotic small subunit ribosomal RNA
Source: RNAcentral
CCAAUAGCGUAUAUUAAAGUUGUUGCAGUUAAAAAGCUCGUAGUUGAAUUUCGGAAUCAAUAUUUCGGUCAUGCCGUUGGUAUGCACUGUUAUCAUUGAUUUCUCACCUUCUAAAGAACCGUAAUGCCAUUAAUUUGGUGUUACGGGGAAUUAGGACUGUUACCUUGAAAAAAUUAGAGUGUUUAAAGCAGGCUCACGCUUGAAUACAUUAGCAUGGAAUAAUGAAAUAGGACAUCCGAUUCUAUUUUGUUGGUUUCUAGGAUCGAUGUAAUGAUUAAUAGGGAUAGUUGGGGGCAUUAGUAUUCAAUUGUCAGAGGUGAAAUUCUUGGAUUUAUUGAAGACUAACUACUGCGAAAGCAUUUGCCAAGGAUGUUUUCAUUAAUCAAGAACGAAAGUUAGAGGUUCGAAGGCGAUCAGAUACCGCCCUAGUUCUAACCAUAAACGAUGCCAACCAGCAAUCUGCCUGAGUUCCUUAAAUGACUCGGCAGGCGGCUUCCG